This 497-nucleotide ribosomal RNA is filed under the name uncultured bacterium. RNAcentral describes it as "partial 16S ribosomal RNA". It matches the Rfam family "Bacterial small subunit ribosomal RNA", at positions 28 to 507 of the family's 1533-position model. The record is from RNAcentral.
GAUGAACGCUGGCGGCGUGCCUAAUACAUGCAAGUCGAGCGAACAGACGAGAAGCUUGCUCCUCUGACGUUAGCGGCGGACGGGUGAGUAACACGUGGAUAACCUACCUAUAAGACUGGGAUAACUUCGGGAAACCGGAGCUAAUACCGGAUGAUAUUUUGAACCGCAUGGUUCAAUAGUGAAAGACGGUUUUGCUGUCACUUAUAGAUGGAUCCGCGCUGCAUUAGCUAGUUGGUAAGGUAACGGCUUACCAAGGCAACGAUGCAUAGCCGACCUGAGAGGGUGAUCGGCCACACUGGAACUGAGACACGGUCCAGACUCCUACGGGAGGCAGCAGUAGGGAAUCUUCCGCAAUGGGCGAAAGCCUGACGGAGCAACGCCGCGUGAGUGAUGAAGGUCUUCGGAUCGUAAAACUCUGUUAUUAGGGAAGAACAUAUGUGUAAGUAACUGUGCACAUCUUGACGGUACCUAAUCAGAAAGCCACGGCUAACUACGUG